GUCCUCGUAGCUCAAUUGGAUAGAGCAAGAGUUUCCGAAGCUCUAGGUAGUAGGUUCAAAUCCUAUCGAGGACACCA
Molecule: transfer RNA, 77 nt
Filed under: bacterium
Lineage: Bacteria
Description: tRNA-Arg
Rfam family: tRNA
About the family: Transfer RNA (tRNA) molecules are approximately 80 nucleotides in length. Their secondary structure includes four short double-helical elements and three loops (D, anti-codon, and T loops).
Source: RNAcentral